Amblyraja radiata (thorny skate) is the source of this 276-nucleotide long non-coding RNA. RefSeq lists it as uncharacterized. NCBI's taxonomy places the organism in Eukaryota, Metazoa, Chordata, Chondrichthyes, Rajiformes, Rajidae. The transcript is spliced from 3 exons. The record is from RefSeq and is a predicted model, not a curated record.
CGCCGGCUCGAUCAGUCGCUGGUUGACAUCCCACUUCUGACACCAAAUGUUGAUUCACGUUUUUCCCUCACAUCGGUUGUAUCGACAAUAAUCGACCAGGCACCGGGUUUGCUUUAAACGUAUGUUUAUUGAGCAGGAGUCUUCACACAGGUUAACAACCUAGCAAAGAGUCAAGCUCUCUGCCCUUAAUUGCAAUGCCUUUUAUAUGUUAAUGCCACUGUUUAGCACCUCCCACAUUCCCCGAUCAAAGAACCGACACGUUGGCAGAAACAGGAA